RNAcentral lists this ribosomal RNA (101 nucleotides) under uncultured Pleosporales. Its description in RNAcentral is "partial 18S ribosomal RNA". The record is from RNAcentral. Lineage: Eukaryota; Fungi; Ascomycota; Dothideomycetes; Pleosporales.
GCUACGUGCCUUGCACUCUUGUUGGGUUGAGGCUUCUUCUUUUGCUCUCUGUGGUCGCGAAGCAAGACCGUUCCGUAGGUGAACCUGCGGAAGGAUCAUUA